UACGUAGGUGGCAAACGUUGUCCGGAUUCACUGGGCGUAAAGCGCGCGCAGGCGGAUUGGUCAGUCUGGGGUGAAAUCUCUCGGCUCAACUGAGAGAGGUCCCUGGAUACUGCCAGUCUUGAGGGGCUCAGAGGAGAGUGGAAUUCCGCGUGUAGUGGUGGAAUGCGUAGAUACGCGGAGGAACACCAGUGGCGAAAGCGGCUCUCUGGGGGCCACCUGACGCUGAGGCGCGAAAGCGUGGGGAGCGAACCGG
Molecule: ribosomal RNA, 253 nt
Filed under: uncultured bacterium
Lineage: Bacteria
Description: partial 16S ribosomal RNA
Rfam family: Bacterial small subunit ribosomal RNA
Source: RNAcentral